UGGGGAAUAUUGCACAAUGGGCGCAAGCCUGAUGCAGCGACGCCGCGAGAGGGAUGGAGGCCUUCGGGUUGUAAACCUCUUUCGCCAGUGAAGCAGGCCAUCUUCUUUGUGGGGUGGUUGACGGUAGCUGGAUAAGAAGCGCCGGCUAACUACGUGCCAGCAGCCGCGGUAAUACGUAGGGCGCGAGCGUUGUCCGGAAUUAUUGGGCGUAAAGAGCUCGUAGGCGGCUGGUCGCGUCUGUCGUGAAAUCCCCUGGCUUAACUGGGGGCUUGCGGUGGGUACGGGCCGGCUUGAGUGCGGUAGGGGAGACUGGAAUUCCUGGUGUAGCGGUGGAAUGCGCAGAUAUCAGGAGGAACACCGGUGGCGAAGGCGGGUCUCUGGGCCGUUACUGACGCUGAGGAGCGAAAGCGUGGGGAGCGAACAGG
RNAcentral lists this ribosomal RNA (425 nucleotides) under bacterium. RNAcentral's name for it is "partial 16S ribosomal RNA". It matches the Rfam family "Bacterial small subunit ribosomal RNA", at positions 355 to 776 of the family's 1533-position model. The record is from RNAcentral.